GAUGAACGCUGGCGGCGUGCCUAAUACAUGCAAGUCGAGCGAACAGAUGAGGAGCUUGCUCCUCUGACGUUAGCGGCGGACGGGUGAGUAACACGUGGAUAACCUACCUAUAAGACGUGGAUAACUUCGGGAAACCGGAGCUAAUACUGCAUAAUAUAAUCAACGGCAUAGUUCAAUAGUGAAACACAGUUUGGCUGUCACUUAGAGAUGGAUCCGCGCCGCAUUAGCUAGUUGGUAAGGUAACGGCUUACCAAGGCAACGAUGCGUAGCCGACCUGAGAGGAUGAUCGGCCACACUGGAACUGAGACACGGUCCAGACUCCUACGGGAGGCAGCAGUAGGGAAUCUUCCGCAAUGGGCGCAAGCCUGACGGAGCAACGCCGCGUGAGUGAUGAAGGUCUUCGGAUCGUAAAACUCUGUUAUUAGGGAAGAACAAAUGUGUAAGUAACUAUGCACGUCUUGACGGUACCUAAUCAGAAAGCAACGGCUAACUACGUG
This 497-nucleotide ribosomal RNA is filed under the name uncultured bacterium. Its description in RNAcentral is "partial 16S ribosomal RNA". It matches the Rfam family "Bacterial small subunit ribosomal RNA", at positions 28 to 507 of the family's 1533-position model. The record is from RNAcentral.